UACGUAGGGGGCAAGCGUUGUCCGGAUUUAUUGGGCGUAAAGAGCGUGUAGGCGGCCAGAUAGGUCCGCUGUGAAAACUCGAGGCUCAACCUCGAGACGCCGAUGGAAACCAUUUGGCUAGAGUCCGGAAGAGGAGAGUGGAAUUCCUGGUGUAGCGGUGAAAUGCGCAGAUAUCAGGAAGAACACCCGUGGCUAAGGCGGCUCUCUAGUACGGUACUGACGCUGAGACGCGAAAGCGUGGGGAGCGAACAGG
Molecule: ribosomal RNA, 253 nt
Filed under: uncultured bacterium
Lineage: Bacteria
Description: partial 16S ribosomal RNA
Rfam family: Bacterial small subunit ribosomal RNA
Source: RNAcentral